This is a long non-coding RNA of Crotalus tigris (Tiger rattlesnake), 4076 nucleotides long. RefSeq lists it as uncharacterized. The transcript is spliced from 4 exons. Lineage: Eukaryota; Metazoa; Chordata; Lepidosauria; Squamata; Viperidae. The record is from RefSeq and is a predicted model, not a curated record.
UCUGCUGUUGUAUAUUAUUCUUUGCAAAAGGGCAGUACCUAUUAUGAAAAAGAGGAGCAGUGAUUUAUCUCUGAUUAGCCUGGGCAAGAGAGAGACCUGCUCAAGGAGUUAUUGCCCAUAAUUUAUAAAUAGCCCUUUCUGCUGUGAUAAACCACCCGGAAUAGCCUGAAAAGCACGGCACCACCACAGCACCUCUGUUUCCUGCCUCCUCCUCUAUACUUGGUGACAGCUUGGUACUUAAGAUUGAUUCCCCACUGGCUUUCUGAUAGAUGCUUCUGUAAUAGACACAAUCACAAUGCAGACAGCAAUCCAGCAAGAGAAACAUUAAUCACAUUGCAUAGAUUGGACUAGAAGAUGUUCAUCCAUUCGUGGGGAACUUUCAGCCAUCAUGCUGAGCUGAGUGACAAAUAGUGCUACAUUUCUAUGAUAAUUCAAUUCUCCUCUACUUUUGAAGAAUUUCUUUCUUCAGUAUGCUUCGCAAAACCACAUGGACAAGAAUGCAAGAGGCUGUAUUCACAUAAUGGGCUAUACCAUUAUGGGCUGUACCAUUAACCAGGCCUGAAUAAAAGCAUAGCAUGCUAGGGGAUACAUUGAAGAGGGAAUUUUGGAGACUUGUUAUAGCCUGCUUUGCCUUCUACAUCCCACAGUCUUGAUAUGACAGAAUUCCCUGCGAAUAAGAUACUACUGAAGAAUUCAGCUCUGACUGAGUUAUUGGAAAACAGAAUUGUCAAUAUAGAACCAUCUGAUGGUUUUAUACUCAGUAUAGUAAUGGUGCCCUGUGGGACUGGAAAUUUCCUCUGGACUCCUGCUCACUGUAUAGCUCACCAUUAAAGCAAAAUGGAUGGACAUAAGGGGGAGGAGAGGAGAAAGGAUGUGUGUUUCUCCAAGGCUUGUAGCAAAUGAUUGAUAAGGACUGGCUGCAGUCACUUAUAACACUCAUCAGUUGGAGAGAGCACUGAUGGGGGUCUCAGCUAUCAGGCACAAAGACAAUUCUAAAUCGAUUUCAAACUGCUUUGAUGGAAUUGAGGAAUUAUCAUCAGUAACUGGUGAAGCAACAGAAAAGAGCUGCAAUAGUUACACCUUUUCCUGUUAUUUCAGAAAUGUUAGAACAGGGAUUUAGAAUCUAAGAUCCUCCAGAUGUUGCUGAACUGUACCGCAGGGAAUGGCUAUGCACUUAGAAUAGGCAGUGGUGAAGGAUUUGGAGCAUUGUAGUUGUGGAGGGCCACAGGGUUCCAUACUUGUUUUAAAGGCAGUGAGAUUUGAGAUCAACCAGUUGGUACAUUGUUUUGCAGAGUAGAAUAUUUAUUUGUUUGAUUUUCAUCCCACCUUUAUUACUUUAUAAGUAUCUCAAGAUGACAAACAUACAUAAUAUUCUUUCCGUCUCCUGUUUUUCCCCACAAAAACAACGCUGUGAGGUGGGCUGGGCUGAGAGAGGGGAAUUGGUCCAUAGUCUGGCUUUCAUGCUAAUCUAUUUUCUAAUAUAAUUUUAUUUUAAAUCUAAUUUAUUUUCAUUUCUUAAUGACUGGCAAGGCCCCGUGUCAUCUGGAAGCAAAGUUGAGAGCAAAGCUACAACAGCUAGUUUCUUCAAAAUGCCUUUGUAUCAGAAAACCCAAUGGUUUCAGUCAACAUUCAGUCUCUAUUGCUAUGCUUGUCAGAAAACUAUGUCACUCCAUAUGUCAGACAUUUCUUGUCCUAUGCACAUUAGGUCUCUACUAACUAAUAUUAAUUUACAAAUUUCUAUGCAUUUAAAAAAUAAACUCCAUCAUACUUUAGUUGCCAUGGAAAACUAUACAAUUCCAUAAGCCAGGAAUGUGGGAGCAGCAUUCCAUAUCACUAAGAUAUAAAAUAAAAUUAAAAAAAAAGCCAAAAGGCCAGGCUAUCAUGAAAGUGGAUAAAAGCUACAGCAUGACAUUUGAGAGAUACAGUGUGGUUCAGACUCAGGCAGAGGCUUUAGAAAGGGUGGUGUUGGGUAGGGUUAACACUGCAGAAAGAAAUUCAGUCUUAUUUUAGUUUGCUCGGGUUCAGAUUGGUGGGGGGGGGGGAAGGCAUGCGAUGACUCAGAGGUUAAAGAUGCUGACCUUAUCAGCUGGAGAGUUGACAGCCUGGGUUCAAGACCCAAGCUCUGUGCAAUUGGAUGAGUUACUUGCCCCAGCUCCUACCCUUCUAGCAGUUCAAAAGCAUGCAAAUGCAAGUAGAUAAAUAAGUAUAGAUAAAUAUAACCAGGCUGGUCACAUGACCACAGAAAUUGUCUUCAGACAAUGCUGGCUUCCUUGGAGAUGAGCCCCAUGCCUUUGCCCCAUGCAAAGCUGGCUGAGGAAUUCUGGGAGUUGAAGUCCACAAGUCUUAAAGUUGCCAAGGUUGAGAACCCCUGCCUUAGAGUUGGAAACAACUGAAUAGGGGAAACCUUUUACCUUUACCUUUGCUUAGGAUUCGCUUCUGGAGCUAUCCGGGUCCUACUGUCCAGCAGUUGGUGACAUAUUGUAUAACUUGUUUCUGCUUUUUUAAAAGUAAAGAGCAGCCAUAAAGAAUCUAAAUCUGGCCUAAAAUUGUUCGGAGGAGCAUAAAGGAUUUUAAGCUUCUGCCUAUCCUGCAGUCCCAAUCCUAUCUGGGAGUCUCACAGAUUCUACUUACUUUUAAAGCAUAGGGACGUUUUAGCUAAUUGAGUAAACAACAUCAUGCCUUCCUUGGCUCUAAACUUGUAGACAUGACUUAUGAAGGAAAAUGCCACUAACCACACACAGAACCUCAAUCCUGUUACUAUUCUUGUUAGUACCAUCCUCUGAGACUGCAAAUUAGAUUUUGGGAGUGCUGGCCAUAUACUAACCACUCUCCAGGAGAUAGGCUGCAAAACAAAUGAAAUAAACAUCACACUGACACACCCACUUUUUUACAAUGGGGGAAGAGAAUCCAAUGGAAAAUUGGAAAAUGUACAGUACUAAGACUUUAGGAUGUGCCAAAUGCAAUGUAAAUACACAUCUUUCUGUUUCACAGAACUUUGAUUUGUAGUUUUCCUUCAAGAUAUUUUUGUUGUUAUUGACAAAGGGGUCUUUGGGAGAUGGGGCAGUUAAAAAUAAAAAGACAGGAUGGCAGUCACUUCUGAGUGAUCAAAGCCUCACCUAUUUAUUAUAUGUAUCACUUGCAAUUAAUGUGAAAAAAGGGGCAGGGCUUCAGUUUUUUUGACCCUCAGUCCCACCCUCUUGAUAAAGGUUAUUUAGAUUUAUUUACUUCUGAGGCUUAUAGGCCAUUACAAUUCAAAUAGGUCUAGGUCUCCUCCCUCAAAUGUUGCCACCUGAUAGGACCCUGAAGAUGUGCUUUCUUUGUGGCCACUCCAGCUCAUUCAAACUGACUCCCACCUAAGAUGCAAGGGAUCUAUACUGAUUUAGUCUUCUAGAGGGCCAUGAAAACCUGGCUCUUCCCCUAAGAAUUGGGUUAGGAUGGAGGUUUAGUUGGGAGGAUGUUUGGACUGGUGCCUGGGAGAAAACGUUUUUUGGUUUUAGCCAUGUUUUUCUAGGUUCUUAUGAACUGCCUAAAGUCAUUAUAUGAGAUAGAUAGGCAUAUAAGUCCUUUAAAAACUAAAUUAACUCUGAGUGGGAUUUAUCCUAAACAUAGGUAAAUCUGGCUAAAACAUAAAAGACAGGAAAAAAAACAGCAUGCAACUACAAUGGAAACAAACCCAAGAAAAAACAGAGGGCAGAAUUUCACAGCAUCCCAGCCCCCAAGGCCUGCUAGCACAACCCCACUUGAACAACCUUCCUAAAAAUUAGCAAAGGAUUGCUGAUUCACAGGAAGGGAGCUGUAGUUGAGAAGAUUUGUUUUUGUGGUCCCUAAAGAUAGCAUUCUCCAUCCCUCUUCAACCAGCCGCCUGCUAACUUGCUGAGGUCCCACAUAGCUGGAUGCAUCCCAGCACCCAUGCGGUCGCUGGCCUCUGUGUGCAGUGGCUGAUGGUGUCAGGCAACAGCCGCCCCGGCCCCUGCUUCACCUUGCCCUGUAACAAUGGCACCCCGCCCUACCUCACCUUGCCUUGCUUCGUCUCACCUCACAGGAUGAGCCUCCUGCCCACCACCCCACCUACCAGA